CACUCCUACGGGAGGCAGCAGUGGGGAAUAUUGGACAAUGGGCGCAAGCCUGAUCCAGCCAUGCCGCGUGAGUGAUGAAGGCCCUAGGGUUGUAAAGCUCUUUCACCGGUGAAGAUAAUGACGGUAACCGGAGAAGAAGCCCCGGCUAACUUCGUGCCAGCAGCCGCGGUAAUACGAAGGGGGCUAGCGUUGUUCGGAUUUACUGGGCGUAAAGCGCACGUAGGCGGACUAUUAAGUCAGGGGUGAAAUCCCGGGGCUCAACCCCGGAACUGCCUUUGAUACUGGUAGUCUUGAGUUCGAGAGAGGUGAGUGGAAUUCCGAGUGUAGAGGUGAAAUUCGUAUAUAUUCGGAGGAACACCAGUGGCGAAGGCGGCUCACUGGCUCGAUACUGACGCUGAGGUGCGAAAGCGUGGGGAGCAAACAGGAUUAGAAACCCUGGUAGUCCCAUGAU
Molecule: ribosomal RNA, 451 nt
Filed under: uncultured organism
Description: partial 16S ribosomal RNA
Rfam family: Bacterial small subunit ribosomal RNA
Source: RNAcentral